CAUAGAGUUUCGUAUUAGAUAAAGAACUUGAUCAAUAUUAAGUAGGAAAAAGAUAGAGUAAAUGUGUUUGUAAUAUUUAGUCCUCCCUCUAAAAUGCUCCCCAUUCUUCUCGUUCUAAAACAUCAACAAGUGCUCCAUUUGUAACAUAAAACUCAUUUAAAAAAAUAUUCCAUUCUCCUCCCUCUAAAACAACUCCCCAUUCUCCUCGUUCUAAAAGAUCAACAAGCUAGUACUCCAUUUGUAACAUAAAACCCAUUCUAAAAAAUUUCCCAUUCACCUCACUGUAAAAAACUCUACAUUCUCCUCGUUCUAAAAGACCAACACGUACUCCAUUUGUAACAUAAAACUCAUUCUAAAAAACUCUCCAUUCUCCGCACUCUAAAAAAAUCUCCAUUCUCCUCGUUCUAAAAGAUCAACAACCUAGUACUCCAUUUAUAACAUAAAACUCAUUCUAAAAAAACUUCCCAUUCAC
Molecule: long non-coding RNA, 472 nt
Filed under: Setaria viridis
Lineage: Eukaryota; Viridiplantae; Streptophyta; Magnoliopsida; Poales; Poaceae
Description: long non-coding RNA (SVIR_LNC006071)
Source: RNAcentral